Molecule: ribosomal RNA, 429 nt
Filed under: Actinomycetes bacterium
Lineage: Bacteria; Bacillati; Actinomycetota; Actinomycetes
Description: Actinobacteria bacterium partial 16S ribosomal RNA
Rfam family: Bacterial small subunit ribosomal RNA
Source: RNAcentral
UAGGGAAUCUUCCGCAAUGGGCGAAAGCCUGACGGAGCAACGCCGCGUGAGUGAUGAAGGUCUUCGGAUCGUAAAACUCUGUUAUUAGGGAAGAACAAAUGUGUAAGUAACUAUGCACGUCUUGACGGUACCUAAUCAGAAAGCCACGGCUAACUACGUGCCAGCAGCCGCGGUAAUACGUAGGUGGCGAGCGUUAUCCGGAAUUAUUGGGCGUAAAGCGCGCGUAGGCGGUUUUUUAAGUCUGAUGUGAAAGCCCACGGCUCAACCGUGGAGGGUCAUUGGAAACUGGAAAACUUGAGUGCAGAAGAGGAAAGUGGAAUUCCAUGUGUAGCGGUGAAAUGCGCAGAGAUAUGGAGGAACACCAGUGGCGAAGGCGACUUUCUGGUCUGUAACUGACGCUGAUGUGCGAAAGCGUGGGGAUCAAACAGG